Molecule: ribosomal RNA, 587 nt
Filed under: uncultured bacterium
Lineage: Bacteria
Description: bacterial SSU rRNA
Rfam family: Bacterial small subunit ribosomal RNA
Source: RNAcentral
GCAAGAAUGAAACUCAAAGGAAUUGACGGGGGCCCGCACAAGCGGAGGAACAUGUGGUUUAAUUCGAUGGUACGCGAGGAACCUUACCUGGGCUUAAAUGUUUUGCAUCUUCGGAUGUAGUCUGUCGAAAGACAGCUUAGAAUGACAAGGUGCUGCAUGGUUGUCGUCAGCUCGUGCCGUGAGGUGUCGGGUUAAGUCCCAUAACGAGCGCAACCCUUAUUCUUAGUUGCCAUCAGGUAAUGCUGGGCACUCUAGGAAAACUGCCAUCGUAAGAUGUGAGGAAGGUGGGGAUGACGUCAAAUCAGCACGGCCCUUAUGUCCAGGGCUACACACGUGUUACAAUGGUCGGUACAAAAGGUCGCAACCUAGUGAUAGGAAGCUAAUCCCCAAAACCGGCCCCAGUUCGGAUUGGAGUCUGCAAUUCGACUCCAUGAAGCAGGAUUCGCUAGUAAUCGCGUAUCAGCAACGACGCGAUGAAUACGUUCCCGGGCCUUGUACACACCGCCCGUCAAGCCAUGGAAGCUGGGUGCACCCGAAGUCCGUAACCGCAAGGAGCGGCCGAAGGUGAAACCGGUAACUGGGGCUAA